This 614-nucleotide ribosomal RNA is filed under the name Tremella mesenterica. Its description in RNAcentral is "LSU rRNA". It matches the Rfam family "Eukaryotic large subunit ribosomal RNA", at positions 44 to 645 of the family's 3401-position model. Lineage: Eukaryota; Fungi; Basidiomycota; Tremellomycetes; Tremellales; Tremellaceae. The record is from RNAcentral.
CAAUAAGCGGAGGAAAAGAAACUAACAAGGAUUCCCCUAGUAACGGCGAGCGAACCGGGAAGAGCUCAAAUUUGAAAUCUGGCGUCCCACGGGCGUCCGAGUUGUAAUCUGCAGAGGCGUCUUCCGCCCCGGACCGCGUCCAAGUCCCUUGGAACAGGGUAUCAAAGAGGGUGACAAUCCCGUGCUUGACGCGACCCCCGGUGCUAUGUGAUGCGACCUCAAAGAGUCGAGUUGUUUGGGAAUGCAGCUCAAAACGGGUGGUAAAUUCCAUCUAAGGCUAAAUAUUGGCGAGAGACCGAUAGCGAACAAGUACCGUGAGGGAAAGAUGAAAAGCACUUUGGAAAGAGAGUUAAACAGUACGUGAAAUUGUUGGAAGGGAAACGAUUGAAGUCAGUCGUGUCCGAGGGGUUCAGCCGGUCCUGCCGGUGCACUCCCCUCGGACGGGUCAACAUCGGUUCUGUCCGGCGGACAAGGGCAGGGGGAACGUGGCACCCUCGUGGUGUGUUAUAGCCCCCCGUCGCAUACGUCGGUCGGGACCGAGGAUCGCAGCUCGCCCUCACGGGCCGGGGUUCGCUCACGUCCGAGCUUAGGAUGUUGACGUAAUGGCUUUAAAC